AUCCUCUCUAACUUAUCCUUCAGUAUCAAAUUUGAAGGAUUGUUUUGAGGGGGUCU
Molecule: microRNA precursor, 56 nt
Filed under: Macaca mulatta (Rhesus monkey)
Lineage: Eukaryota; Metazoa; Chordata; Mammalia; Primates; Cercopithecidae
Description: Mml-Novel-6_pre stem-loop
Source: RNAcentral